AAUUUGCGUUCUCUGGAAUUUAAUGAGAAUAGAGAGAGAGAGAGAGAGGUGGUGGGAAGGAGACGAACUCUCCACCACCGUCGACCAGCAGCACCAAUGACCACGACUACCGGAGCCGCCCCACCUCCAACUCCUGCCACCACCAUAGGAGGCAAAAUGUGCUCUGCCUAGUAUUGACGAAUACAAUUGAAGACCACUGGAAUCGACGCCAUAUCAAGGUUAGUCCCUUUUGGAAAGUCUCUCUUUGCCCGCGAUGUAGUCAUUCCGAAGGUGGUGUGCCAGAGUAUUGACAAAGUCAGAAUUGAAGGCCAUCAAGAACACUCUGAAGGCCAUCAAGAAGAUUGACAAAGUCAGAAUUGAAAGGGAGGCUAGACACCAUACUAGAAGGUUUCCUUCCUUUUCUCUUGUCGUUUGCCCUUGAAAGGAUAUCAUAAAUUGGUUUCGUUCUUUCAAGUUAAUUUUUUUCAAAACAUCUCUGCUUAAAUUAUCUACUUGAAAAUAUGGACCGGAUGUUUUUCGGUUUUUUUUUUUUAAUACUGGUUUUGAAUACCUAUUUUCGGUUGUAAUAUUAAAUUUCAUGAUCAGUUGGUUGAGUUUUUGUUUGAGGGAUUUUCUUUGGGCGAUUAUUGGCAAGUAGUGAUUGUAAUGUCCUACUUUAGUUUUCCUUUUUAAUUGUAGUUAUUUGAGCUUCA
Rhododendron vialii is the source of this 692-nucleotide long non-coding RNA. RefSeq lists it as uncharacterized. The record is from RefSeq and is a predicted model, not a curated record. The transcript has 3 exons. Lineage: Eukaryota; Viridiplantae; Streptophyta; Magnoliopsida; Ericales; Ericaceae.